Molecule: microRNA, 26 nt
Filed under: anatid alphaherpesvirus 1
Lineage: Duplodnaviria; Heunggongvirae; Peploviricota; Herviviricetes; Herpesvirales; Orthoherpesviridae
Description: dev-miR-D14-3p
Gene: dev-miR-D14-3p
Source: miRBase by way of RNAcentral
GCGUUAUGUCUGGUUAUUAUGUUUUU